UCACUAUGAUGAUAAAACUUGUUUGCCUUAGAAGCAUUCGUUUCGAUGAAGGCAACAACCCUCUAAGAAGUUCUGAGUGA
This is a small nucleolar RNA of Cryptomeria japonica (Japanese cedar), 80 nucleotides long. RefSeq annotates it as small nucleolar RNA U61. The transcript has a single exon. NCBI's taxonomy places the organism in Eukaryota, Viridiplantae, Streptophyta, Pinopsida, Cupressales, Cupressaceae. The record is from RefSeq and is a predicted model, not a curated record.